UACGUAGGGUGCAAGCGUUAAUCGGAAUUACUGGGCGUAAAGCGUGCGCAGGCGGUUUUGUAAGUCUGUCGUGAAAUCCCCGGGCUCAACCUGGGAACUGCAUUUGUGACUGCAUGGCUAGAGUUUGUCAGAGGGGGGUGGAAUUCCACGUGUAGCAGUGAAAUGCGUAGAUAUGUGGAGGAACACCGAUGGCGAAGGCAGCCCCCUGGGAUGUGACUGACGCUCAUGUACGAAAGCGUGGGGAGCAAACAGG
RNAcentral lists this ribosomal RNA (253 nucleotides) under uncultured bacterium. Its description in RNAcentral is "partial 16S ribosomal RNA". It matches the Rfam family "Bacterial small subunit ribosomal RNA", at positions 524 to 776 of the family's 1533-position model. The record is from RNAcentral.